This 212-nucleotide ribosomal RNA is filed under the name uncultured fungus. Its description in RNAcentral is "partial small subunit ribosomal RNA". The stretch from base 92 to 212 matches the Rfam family "Eukaryotic small subunit ribosomal RNA", at positions 740 to 863 of the family's 1831-position model. The record is from RNAcentral. Lineage: Eukaryota; Fungi.
GGCAAGCUUGACUUGGUCGGCCAAAAGCCGUACUGAGCGAGCUUGCCUUACCUUCUGGGUCACUUGGGUGCUCUUAACUGAGUGCCCAAGCUGUCCAGGACCUUUACCUUGAAAAAAUUAGAGUGUUUAAGGCAGGCUUACGCUUGAAUACAUUAGCAUGGAAUAAUAGAAUAGGACUUUGGUUCUAUUUUGUUGGUUUGAGGGCCAGAGUA